Dermacentor silvarum is the source of this 501-nucleotide long non-coding RNA. RefSeq lists it as uncharacterized. The record is from RefSeq and is a predicted model, not a curated record. The transcript has 3 exons. NCBI's taxonomy places the organism in Eukaryota, Metazoa, Arthropoda, Arachnida, Ixodida, Ixodidae.
GCCAGUUCUGGAUGGAGCCUGCGUGUCCGUCUGGCAACCCGUAUCAACGACAGCUGCGUUCGAGGCGGCCGGCGCGCAGUAUAAAAAGCACCCAAGACUACACUUCGGGCACGACAUCGCACCAGACAAGAUGCCUUCAUGCUGCUUGAUGUUUCAGACUUCUCCAUAUACCUUGUAACGCUACCUAUGCAGCUGCUACAUGGUGUGCCACCUGAUGCAAUACUUUGCUACUGCAAUGCACGUAUGGACGCCACGCGGCGCGCAUCUCACAUCGCAAGACAAGUGGCAAGAUACGAUGCUAAUGAUGAUGAUGAUGAUAAUUUAUAGACAACUGCCAAGCUUGAUUUAAUCAGGAGGGACGCGGACUUCAAGGACGCCUACGGCGGGACCGUCGAGCACGAGCCGCCCAUUCCAUACUCGAUGGAGGCACUGCGGCUUCUGUGGCCGGGGAAGCGCCGGAUGGCCAUCUGGCCCGUCAGCCACUGUCAGCCACUGAAGUUC